GAUGAACGCUGGCGGCGUGCCUAAUACAUGCAAGUCGAGCGAACAGACGAGGAGCUUGCUCCUCUGACGUUAGCGGCGGACGGGUGAGUAACACGUGGAUAACCUACCUAUAAGACUGGGAUAACUUCGGGAAACCGGAGCUAAUACCGGAUAAUAUAUUUAACCGCAUGGGUCAAGAGUGAAAGACGGUUUUGCUGUCACUUAUAGAUUGAUCCGCGCCGCAUUAGCUAGUUGGUAAGGUAACGGCUUACCAAGGCGACGAUGCGUAGCCGACCUGAGAGGGUGAUCGGCGACACUGGAACUGAGACACGGUCCAGACUCCUACGGGAGGCAGCAGUAGGGAAUCUUCCGAGAUGGGGGGAAGCCUGCCGGAGCAACGCCGCGUGGGUGAUGAAGGUCUUCGGAUCGUAAAACUCUGUUAUUAGGGAAGACCAAAUGUGUAAGUAACUAUGCACGUCUUGACGGUACCUAAUGAGAAAGCAACGGCUAACUACGUG
Molecule: ribosomal RNA, 497 nt
Filed under: uncultured bacterium
Lineage: Bacteria
Description: partial 16S ribosomal RNA
Rfam family: Bacterial small subunit ribosomal RNA
Source: RNAcentral